ACUCCAGGAGUUGGUCUGGGGUGA
Molecule: unclassified non-coding RNA, 24 nt
Filed under: Mus musculus (house mouse)
Lineage: Eukaryota; Metazoa; Chordata; Mammalia; Rodentia; Muridae
Description: oocyte_clustered_small_RNA5799
Source: RNAcentral